This is a long non-coding RNA of Prunus dulcis (almond), 717 nucleotides long. RefSeq lists it as uncharacterized. The transcript has 4 exons. The record is from RefSeq and is a predicted model, not a curated record. Lineage: Eukaryota; Viridiplantae; Streptophyta; Magnoliopsida; Rosales; Rosaceae.
CUUAUAGCCAGACUCUCUCCAGAUUCACCGCCUAUUGUCCCCUUGUGUGCUGGCCUUUGCCUUAUAGUAUUAGAGAAUCUAUUGUUUGCACAAAUACAAUGUAUCGAUCGAUCGAUCAGCUCUUCCCUUUGUCACUUUUUAUAUAUAUUUUCUGUUUAUGUUUUCGACCGGACCGGUUCGGGUGCUUGGGAAGGUUAGGAGAAUCCAUGUAUCUUAAUUCAAAAGGUGGCAAGUUUUCUAUCUCAUCAUCUCAUAUCAGCCUCAUAAAUGGAACUGAUAAACUUGGAACUUGUCUUGAUACUAAGGGUUCUGUCCAAAGUCUUUCUUGUUCUUAUAAGGGUCUGAACUCGAAGAAGAAGAAGAACCAAACGGCUGCUGCGCCAUAGAAAAGCUUAAGGGCUGUCGUUGUUGCACAUGUUGAUCUUGAUCUUCUUGUUGAGAUGGUACGAAGGGCACUGAAGAUGAUGAUGAAGAUGUAGUAGUGGUAGCUGAUAAAGUCUGGGAAAAAAAUGAUCUUUCUCUCUCGUAAAAAGUACUUGUUGAUAUUGAUGAUCAGAAAGAGGCUGAUUGUGAUGAGCCAAUUCAGUUCUUCGACUCCCCCCAGCUGCUAAGUCCUGUGGACCAGUUGUUGUGAGCCUGCAGUUGAGGAGGUUGAUCGUCAUGCAAUUCCAUGGCGCUGGGCAGGGGGUUUACCAAUGGCUCGGCGGGCACUUGAAC